This 768-nucleotide non-coding RNA is filed under the name Pan troglodytes (chimpanzee). Lineage: Eukaryota; Metazoa; Chordata; Mammalia; Primates; Hominidae. The record is from RNAcentral.
CGGCCUUUGUGCCUUUUUAUUCUUUGCUUACCUUUAUGAUAUAAAGACCUUAUUUCUUACAAGGAGGAAAAGACCGCUGACUUCAGAAACAGCGGGAACUCCAGCUCGUCCCCGGUAAGACGGCCGUGGCCUGUCAGCUGGAACGGUCCUGCCGGAUGGAUUGCUCUUUGAGAGCGUACACUCCCGCGUGCGCGACACCAGGUGGCCCGUAGGUUCCAGGUGCCGAGCACGCUACCUCCUCAGUUUACCUAAGUGCCCUACCAGUAUCAUAUUCUGUGUAUGCUGUGAUGUGAACGAGGUUUGUAAACACAGGCCGGUCUAAUGGAGCCCAGUGAGACCGCCAGAGGAUUAGUGUCUGUCUUGUCCAACAGUACUCGACUUGCUGGUAGAGCCCUAAUGACUGAGGGCUGCCCACAAGGGAAAGGUGAGAGAACCUUCACGUCUCUCAGGUAGUUUCCAGCCUGCACUUUCCCCCAGCUAAAGAUAAGUUUUGUUAUUUUUAAAAUUCUCUUUAUUUAGAGCAAAUUCAGCCCUAUCUCAGAUCGGGAAAUUAUAUAGUAUCAAAAGAGAGAGUCUUCAUAUUAGCAACCCAAAUAAAUAAACUAUUUUCCUGGGUGAUCAAAUAAGUUUGAUUCCUGCUUGAGUUCUAUUUAGAUACUAGGUGGAAUUUUACAAAGGGUCUACGUUCCAUGAACUGUAAUGGAAUGAAAAUAUUCACAAUCUAAAGACAUUUUCACAUUCUCAGUUUACAGCUGAGGAAACUAAGCU